This 422-nucleotide long non-coding RNA is filed under the name Glycine max (soybean). RNAcentral's name for it is "long non-coding RNA (GMAX_LNC003468)". Lineage: Eukaryota; Viridiplantae; Streptophyta; Magnoliopsida; Fabales; Fabaceae. The record is from RNAcentral.
CCACAGCAGAAUGCACAAGCUCCUCAAGCCUACUUAGCCAAUGCUAAUCCUGCUCAGCAGGCACAGAAUUGGUACAUAGAUUCUGAAGCAACUCAUCAUGUCACUGCAUCUCCUCAGAACUUGAUGAAUGAAGUUCCAACCUCGGGCAAUGAGCAUGUUUUCCUUGGUAAUGGUCAAGGUUUGCCUAUUAUUUCCACUGGUUCAGCAAUUUUUCAGUCUCCAUUUGCCUCUAAUGUUAAAUUAACUCUAAAUAAUCUAUUGCAUGUUCCCCACAUAACUAAGAACUUAGUUAGUGUGAGUCAGUUUGUCAAAGAUAAUAAUGUCUUUUUUGAGUUUCACUCAUCUCAUUGUGUUGUCAAAUCUCAGGUUGAUGGUUCAAUACUCCCCAGAGGUGCUCUUAGCCAAGAUGGCCUCUAUGUCUU